Long non-coding RNA from Cottoperca gobio, 374 nucleotides. RefSeq lists it as uncharacterized. Lineage: Eukaryota; Metazoa; Chordata; Actinopteri; Perciformes; Bovichtidae. The transcript is spliced from 3 exons. The record is from RefSeq and is a predicted model, not a curated record.
UAGCAAGCAUCAAAAUAGCGCUAAUAGCUUGAUCUCAUGCCGUUUUUACCGAGUAUCAUCGCAAAAAUAAACACAUCGAUCAGCUGAUUUCAAAGAUUGCAACAGCUGUUCAUGGGCUUUUAUCAAUAUGACGAAGUUCAAGAUGGAUAUAUUUUUACUGGAAACGAUCGUGUGGACCUCUGCAAUGAGCCAGUCAGCGUAGGCUGUGCCAGAGGUGGAGGCGUGGACGUUGCAGUUUCUUGCUCCCUCUUCUGUUCAUUUGCACGUCCUCGUGAUUGUGUAUUCAUAAUGCUGAGACGCUAGAGAACUGGAUCCAUUCUGGCAACAUGAACAAAUGGGACAAACAUCCUAUAGAGGGCCUGUGUGGAGACGUG